RNAcentral lists this ribosomal RNA (678 nucleotides) under Hemithyrsocera longiseta. Its description in RNAcentral is "12S ribosomal RNA". The record is from RNAcentral. Lineage: Eukaryota; Metazoa; Arthropoda; Insecta; Blattodea; Blattellidae.
CAGUGUAUAGUAUUAUUAAUUUAAGAAAUUUUGAUUUAGUAAUUUUCAUAAAUAUUGAUAAAAUAUGUGCCAGCAAUCGCGGUUAUACAUAGGAUAUAAGUAAAUAGUAAUUAGUUUAUGUAGUUAAUAAUUGUAUUGGAAUUAAAAAAAGUAUUGUGAGGUGGAAUAUUCAAUUUAUAUUAAUUUUUAUGAGAAUAGAUUGAGGCUACGAAAUCUUUUUAUUAGACUAGGAUUAGAUACCCUAUUAUUUUUGAUUUAAAAUAUUAAAACUUGAGUAGUAAUAGUUAUGUUCUUGAAACUUAAAGAAUUUGGCGGUAUUUUAGUCUUUUUAGAGGAAUCUGUUCCUUGAUUCGAUAGUCCACGUUGGACCUUACUUAAUUUUUUAAUUUGUAUACCGCCGUGGUUGAUAAUCUUUGUAGGGUUAAUUUCUUAUGUAUUUUUAGAUAAUUUUCAGGUCAAGGUGCAGUUUAUAAUUAAGUGGAAAUGGAUUACAUUAUCUUGAAAUAUACGGAUUAUUAAUUUUAAUUUUAAUUAUUAAGGUGGAUUUAAGGGUAAUUUUGUUAAGAAUGUUGAUGUGAUUAUAGCUCUAGGAUAUGUACACAUCGCCCGUCAUUCUCAUUUUGAAGGUGAGACAAGUCGUAACAUAGUAGAUGUACCGGAAGGUGUAACUAGAUUGAU